RNAcentral lists this ribosomal RNA (447 nucleotides) under uncultured bacterium. RNAcentral's name for it is "bacterial SSU rRNA". It matches the Rfam family "Bacterial small subunit ribosomal RNA", at positions 330 to 794 of the family's 1533-position model. The record is from RNAcentral.
UCCAGACUCCUACGGGAGGCAGCAGUGGGGAAUAUUGCACAAUGGGGGAAACCCUGAUGCAGCGACGCCGCGUGAGUGAAGAAGUAAUUCGUUAUGUAAAGCUCUAUCAGCAGGGAAGAAAAUGACGGUACCUGAGUAAGAAGCCCCGGCUAACUACGUGCCAGCAGCCGCGGUAAUGCGUAGGGGGCAAGCGUUAUCCGGAUUUACUGGGUGUAAAGGGAGCGUAGGCGGGAAAGCAAGUUGAAUGUUUAAGGUACGGGCUCAACCUGUACAAGCGUUCAAAACUGUUUUUCUUGAGUGGAGUAGAGGUAAGCGGAAUUCCUAGUGUAGCGGUGAAAUGCGUAAAUAUUAGGAGGAACGCCAGUGGCGAAGGCGGCGUACUGGGCUUUAACUGACGCUGAGGCUCGAAAGCGUGGGUAGCAAACAGGAUUAGAUACCCGAGUAAGA